CGUUACGGUUGAUAGUCGUGGAUUCAAAUAUUCCUGCCAGUUGUUAACCCUAAUCCUUCGUAUAAAUAGAUAAUCAUUGGGUAUUAAAUGUAUAAGAGCCGGUGGCUGUGCUGUGUAGAAAAGAGGGCGUGUGAGAGAGAGUUGCUUCCCCAUCUCUUGUACUCUUAUAAACUUUCUAAUUAUAUAGUGAAAAUUUUCUAUGCGCCCAUCGACGUAGGAGC
This 221-nucleotide long non-coding RNA is filed under the name Elaeis guineensis (African oil palm). Its description in RNAcentral is "long non-coding RNA (EGUI_LNC030166)". Lineage: Eukaryota; Viridiplantae; Streptophyta; Magnoliopsida; Arecales; Arecaceae. The record is from RNAcentral.